RNAcentral lists this transfer RNA (72 nucleotides) under Ovis aries (sheep). It matches the Rfam family "tRNA". Rfam says of the family: Transfer RNA (tRNA) molecules are approximately 80 nucleotides in length. The record is from Rfam by way of RNAcentral. Lineage: Eukaryota; Metazoa; Chordata; Mammalia; Artiodactyla; Bovidae.
UCCCUUGUAGCUCAGUCGGUAAAGAAUCUGCCUGCAGUGCAGGAGACCUGGGUUCGAUCCCUGGAUUGGGAA